UACGUAGGGUGCAAGCGUUGUCCGGAAUUAUUGGGCGUAAAGAGCUCGUAGGCGGUCUGUUGCGUCGGCUGUGAAAACCCGGGGCUCAACUCCGGGCCUGCAUUCGAUACGGGCAGACUAGAGUUCGGUAGGGGAGUCUGGAAUUCCUGGUGUAGCGGUGAAAUGCGCAGAUAUCAGGAGGAACACCGGUGGCGAAGGCGGGACUCUGGGCCGAUACUGACGCUGAGGAGCGAAAGCGUGGGGAGCGAACAGG
Molecule: ribosomal RNA, 253 nt
Filed under: uncultured bacterium
Lineage: Bacteria
Description: partial 16S ribosomal RNA
Rfam family: Bacterial small subunit ribosomal RNA
Source: RNAcentral